AUUGACCGCUGGCGGCAGGCCUAACACAUGCAAGUCGAGAGGCGCGCCGGACGGGUGAGUAAUGCCUAGGAAUCUGCCUGGUUGUGGGGGCUAACGUCCGGAAACGGGCGCUAAUACCGCAUCCUAUCAGAUGAGCCUAGGGCGGAUUAGCUAGUUGGUGGGGAAAAGGCCGACCAAGGCGACGACCCGUAACUGGUCGGAGAGGUUGAUCAGUCACACUGGAACUGAGACACGGUCCAGACUCCUACGGGAGGCAGCAGUGGGGAAUAUUGGACAAUGGGCGAAAGCCUGAUGCAGCCAUGCCGCGUGUGUGAAGAAGGUCUUCGGAUUGUAAAGCACUUUAAGUUGGGAGGCGUUACCAACAGAAUAAGCACCGGCUAACUUCGUGCCAGCAGCCGCGGUAAUAC
This 407-nucleotide ribosomal RNA is filed under the name uncultured bacterium. RNAcentral describes it as "partial 16S ribosomal RNA". It matches the Rfam family "Bacterial small subunit ribosomal RNA", at positions 30 to 526 of the family's 1533-position model. The record is from RNAcentral.